Molecule: long non-coding RNA, 2956 nt
Organism: Scleropages formosus (Asian bonytongue)
Lineage: Eukaryota; Metazoa; Chordata; Actinopteri; Osteoglossiformes; Osteoglossidae
Source: Ensembl
AUGAUGUGUUGUUGCUCCUCUGUGUGCUCUCCUGUCAGGCUGAGUUCCGUGCUCUCGGAGCUGCUGGGUGAGUGCGCCAAAGACGCUGUCCAUACUCUGAGAGAGGCUCUCCAGGCCCUUCAACAGUGGAUCCAGUCCACCCGCGUGCUGCAGCCCACCGAGUCGGCAUAUACUGUUGGGGUCUGCAUUGAGGAGGGCAAGCAGCUCCAAGUUGCAUUAAAAAAAGUCCAGUCACAUUGCCCAUUCUUGAGGGACAGUCUAGGAGUGGACCAGAUGGACAGGAUGGAGAAAGACUGUGAAGACGUCCUGAGUGAAGGGACAGCUCGGAUUUGUGCUCUGACUCAGAGCCUGCAGGACCUUGCUGAGAAGGACAAACAGGAACUUAAGAAAACUACAUCUCCACCUCUGAAAUCCGAGCUCAUUGUUGAUGAGGAAACGCAUGGGGAGGCCGUAAAGGACCGGGUAUCCCCUGCUGAAGCUAUGGGAGAUCCUCUGACACACCUCAUUGCUUCAGUCACUUCACAAGCCACGGAGGUGGUCCCAGGAACCUAUGAGCUCACUGAGUCACAUCCACUUGACGCUUGCAGAGUCACGGAUGACGUUGAGUUCUUACGCAAGACAUCCAAGGUGUCAGACAAGUGUACUGUGGAGCUGCCUCACAUUACUGUUGAAGAAACUGAUGCUCAUCACCUGGUGCCUGACGCUGUACCAACUCCUGUCAUUUUAAAUGCAAAUGUACGAGAAGCCGAUGUUCAGCGCACCCAUGCUGCCGUUCCAGAGAAAUGUGAUAGCACGAUACACCUCGCCAAGGUCCUAGAGCCUGAGGCUCUGAAUACUGAGCAGCAAAGUCGAGGCACUGAUCCUCUGAGUGCAGGCCAUACAAGAGAAACUGAUCAGGACGUAGAUCUAAAGAAGCCUCCGUUUAGUGAGAUGCAACCUAGUAGCACACAUGAAAGCUUUGACACUGGUACCUCUCUCAGUAGCAAUGAGAUGGAGCAAAGUCUUGUUCCUGCAGCUGAUACUUUUGUAACAGGUGAGAAGGACAACCAGAAUCUGGAGUCAAAGAAAGUCACUGGGCUUGUUCUCGACAUUGGUAUGCUAUACGUUCAGACACCAGAGACUUUGCAGCCAGUAAAUAGCGAGACCAUGCGCAUUGUUUCUUGUGGAAUGACAGGCUUAGACACCAUUUGGAGUCAGUCAGAAAAGGAGGAGGAGACUAAGGGACAAGAUGCUGACAUUCCUGGACUAACUGAUGCAUGGGAUGUAGAUGCUGCAAAGCAACAGCUCUGCAUUCAAAGCACUUCUGUACAGCACACUCAACCUAUGGACACUACAGCAGUGACCAAGGAUCAGAUGCCACAUGCAGAGAAAAUGUCCAGUAGUGCCCCUCUUGAGGAUACUGAGAUGCUGCAGGGAAAUAUCCCACUCUCUGAACCAAUCUUUGUCCAACCAGUAGAACAACAGCAGGAAGAGCAUUUACUGGAUCUGCCCACAGAGACAGAGAAAACUGACAUUUCUCACUUUUGCAAAAGUGAGAGCAUCGAGGAGACGGGGAGCAUUUUGCCCCUGGAUGUUCAACAAAGUUGCAUUUUACUGGAUUUAAAGGAAUGUGAUAGAGAGACUGGUAUGUCUGAGGCCCUACAUUUAGACACACCCAAGGCCGCCAUCCAAUGUUAUGAACAAGAGAAUGACAACAUCUUCCCUAACAGUGAUUCAGAGCCAACAGAUGGAGGUCCUGUUGUCAGUGGGCCACCAACCAAUGGGGUACAAGCUGACACAAAACAAGAAUCGAAGCCGCAGUUGUUCGUAGAAGAUACUGCACCAGAAAACAUGAGACAGCAGACAAAGUGUGAGGCAGCAGGAAUGCAAGACUCUCAGAACAAACUGAUGAAGGAGCCAGACCCAGGGCCUGUGGCUCCACCUAGACGCCGACCUAAAGAUCGGAAGGCCCAAGCAGAGUCCAGACAGAAUGGAAAUCAGGAAAGUCCUCAUGUUCAGCAGUCAGGUGAAGUCUCCACAGAGAGCCCGUCAGCGAGCAGGGAGGAGGAUGCAACAGAAGCCAUGAGUGAUGUGAGAAGUACAAAUCUGCAGCAGGAAACAUCAGAUAAGUCUGCCAUCCAGGAAUUUUUCACUGGAAUUCAAAGACAGGUGGAAAUUGGACCCAGCCGCAUUCUUAUCUGGGUGGGUGUGCAGGCUAUUGUUUUGACCGGUUAACCUGUGCCUUAAUGCUAUCUGCACUCAUUACCACUACUGUUACCACAGCCUCUUUUUGUGAUGAAAUUCUCUGUGGAAUUCCAGGGAGAUGCACCCAAGGAAUCUACUGAUGGUCUGGGUGCUUCAUGGAGAGACCUUGAGGCACGGCUGAGCCGAGCAAUGCUCAGAGUCCUGCGCUGCCAGAACCGACCAGCUGAGGUCGAUGCUGAUGCUAUGUCUCAGCAAGUAGAGGAGGCUGAGGUGACAGACACCCACUCUUUCAUUUGUUUGUCCCAAAAGUUCAUGUUGCAUGUUGUAGUCCCUGAUGCUGCUUUUUUUUUGCUCUCGCCAAUAUUUAACUGCUUAUAAAAGGUGUUGAUUCUGGAAACACUCCCAGUUGAGUGAUGCCCUGAAUAUGCUAGAGUCAGAUUUACAGGCUGAUUUCCAUUCAUUAUGUGCAUUUCUGAUGUUGCAGGCCUCUAGGUUAUCUGUACAGGAGCAGGUAGUCUUGUUGAAAAACCAUCAGGCGGCUGAAGGGUGGGCCAGCAAGACCAAGCAGUUGGCUGAAACUCAGUGGGAUGUAUUCUUAUUGGAUGCAGAAGCCAUCAUGAGCACCAAGGAGCGUCAUUUGCAGCUCAUAGCCCAGUACCAACAGCAGACCCAGGCUGUCAAGGCCACACUACAGAGACUACCAGCAGAUCUAGAUGCCCUGAAAGCGUAAGUCAUAAAACCUGUGACAAUGGUAUUCAGUCUUGGUCUUGGA